This 254-nucleotide ribosomal RNA is filed under the name uncultured bacterium. RNAcentral's name for it is "partial 16S ribosomal RNA". It matches the Rfam family "Bacterial small subunit ribosomal RNA", at positions 524 to 776 of the family's 1533-position model. The record is from RNAcentral.
UACGGGGGGAGCAAGCGUUGUUCGGAUUUACUGGGCGUAAAGGGCGCGUAGGCGGCCACCGCAAGUCGACUGUGAAAUCUCCGGGCUUAACCCGGAAAGGUCAGCCGAUACUGCGGGGCUAGAGUGCAGAAGGGGCAACUGGAAUUCUCGGUGUAGCGGUGAAAUGCGUAGAUAUCAGGAGGAACACCAGCGGCGAAGGCGCUGCUCUGGGCCGGUACUGACGCUGAGGAGCGAAAGCGUGGGGAGCGAACAGG